This 29-nucleotide non-coding RNA is filed under the name Rattus norvegicus (Norway rat). Lineage: Eukaryota; Metazoa; Chordata; Mammalia; Rodentia; Muridae. The record is from RNAcentral.
UACAAUACGUAUGUGCUGAGCCUGGUCAG